AAAUGACAAAGGCAAACUUUGUGUAAACCAGGAGGCAAAGCCACGGGUCUUCUAUUGAAUUGAAGAUAGCUGAGUUACCUGU
Molecule: non-coding RNA, 82 nt
Filed under: Desulfosporosinus acidiphilus
Lineage: Bacteria; Bacillati; Bacillota; Clostridia; Eubacteriales; Desulfitobacteriaceae
Description: c-di-GMP sequence
Rfam family: c-di-GMP-I riboswitch aptamer
About the family: GEMM was predicted in a large-scale screen for bacterial structured RNA regulatory elements. Genes associated with GEMM are involved in a diverse array of functions, including chemotaxis regulation, signal transduction, secretion and chitin.
Source: RNAcentral